Molecule: unclassified non-coding RNA, 331 nt
Filed under: fungal sp.
Lineage: Eukaryota; Fungi
Description: partial internal transcribed spacer region
Rfam family: Eukaryotic small subunit ribosomal RNA (bases 1-46)
Source: RNAcentral
AAGUCGUAACAAGGUAACCGUAGGUGAACCUGCGGUUGGAUCAUUAAUAAUUCAAGAGGUACUUUAUGUAUCUUUUUGGCUUGCACCACUUGCCAUUUAUUUGGCAAGUGGGGCUUGCUGAUAAAACACACUGUGCACUGUAAUUGUAUUUUGGGGAAGUUAUCGGCGGCUGCAACCUACAUAAUGCGCUGUGUCAUGAAGACCGCUAGCAUGUCUUACGGCUUUCCCUGCCCAAACUCUAAACCCAAACCAACGUAUUUAAACAUCAUAUGACUUAUUACUUAUUUUUUAUAAAAUAAUACAACUUUUGACAACGGAUCUCUUGGCUCUC